CAUUUAAAGAAAGCGUAAUAGCUCACUGGUCGAGUCGGCCUGCGCGGAAGAUGUAACGGGGCUAAACCAUGCACCGAAGCUGCGGCAGCGAACGUAUCACUUAAAGCGAUUCAGCGGGUUACGAUUGACGGAGCGAAGCGACGUCAAAGCGUAUACAAAGUCGAGUCGGUUUAAGGAUACGUUCGUUGGGUAGGGGAGCGUUCUGUAAGCCUGUGAAGGUGGCCUGUGAGGGUUGCUGGAGGUAUCAGAAGUGCGAAUGCUGACAUAAGUAACGAUAAAGCGGGUGAAAAGCCCGCUCGCCGGAAGACCAAGGGUUCCUGUCCAACGUUAAUCGGGGCAGGGUGAGUCGACCCCUAAGGCGAGGCCGAAAGGCGUAGUCGAUGGGAAACGGGUUAAUAUUCCCGUACUUGGUGUUACUGCGAAGGGGGGACGGAGAAGGCUAUGUUGGCCGGGCGACGGUUGUCCCGGUUUAAGCGUGUAGGUGUGUGUUCCAGGUAAAUCCGGUUCACUUUAACACUGAGGCGUGACGACGAGGCACUACGGUGCUGAAGCAACAAAUGCCCUGCUUCCAGGAAAAGCCUCUAAGCAUCAGGUAACAUCAAAUCGUACCCCAAACCGA
This 619-nucleotide ribosomal RNA is filed under the name Salmonella enterica subsp. enterica serovar Agona. Its description in RNAcentral is "partial 23S ribosomal RNA". It matches the Rfam family "Bacterial large subunit ribosomal RNA", at positions 1120 to 1657 of the family's 2925-position model. Lineage: Bacteria; Pseudomonadati; Pseudomonadota; Gammaproteobacteria; Enterobacterales; Enterobacteriaceae. The record is from RNAcentral.